Myodes glareolus (Bank vole) is the source of this 2067-nucleotide non-coding RNA. The record is from RefSeq and is a predicted model, not a curated record. NCBI's taxonomy places the organism in Eukaryota, Metazoa, Chordata, Mammalia, Rodentia, Cricetidae.
UUGGUGAGGAUGAGACUGUGGACCUCAGCCAGUAGGAAUGGUGGCAUCUGGACCCUGCCAGAGACUUCUGGACCCGUGUGUGAGCACAGCUGGCUUGGAGAUCUAAGUAUCCAAUAACCUUGGAAGCAAAAAGGAAAAUUGCAGUCCAUAUUUCCGGGAUUGAAGAGACAUGCAUCCUGGUGUCCUGCCAGUCAUCCUGGAAUACACCUCUCCUUCUUGUGAAGAAACCUGGAACCUCUGAUUCUCAUGAGCCUGAUUCUUCCAGAGAAACAGCCUGCAGCAUGGUGGAUGAGGAAGUCAGGAGCACAGGUUCUCACUCCAACCCUUCUGUGGUGGUGUUUAGCAGCUAUGAUGUCAUCGGGUUGGCACCCUUCUGAUGGACACAUCGAACCAGACAUUCUGGAAGUCAUCUUGCUUGAUUCUCAUCCUGUGAAAAAACACAGACAUGCCCUCGACCCCAUAUUAACACAGGAUUGGGUCCUCUCCAUAAUCUAGUGCAAGGGUCUCUUUAUUUUGUUUUAGCAAAAGUCUUGGUACCAUCAUUCCAAAAUUUGUCCAUGGCAGAUUGCUCAUGGACAUCCACAUUUAAGAAAUUUAGAGCAAAAAGUACAUGGCUCACGGCAUUAUGUGUCAUUUGAGGAGACAGUUUUCUUGUUUUCACUUUUUGAAGUUGUGUUUUCAAGGAGCUGUGGGCACGCUCCACAAUUCCUUGUCCUUGAGGAUUAUAAGGAAUAUCUGUCUUAUGUUCAAUAUUUCAUUGGGAACAAAAUCGCCGAAAUGUUUUACUAACAUAUCCAAACCCAUUAUCCAUCUUUAUGGUUUUGGGGGUUCUCAUAUAUGAGAAACAUUUUAAGCAAUAUGUUAUUACAUACUUAGUGACUUCUCUAGUUUGUGCAGUGGCUAUCAAGAAUCCUGAAUGUGUAUUGAUUGUCACAUGUACAUAUCUUAAUUUGUCACACUCUGCAAUAUGAGCAACAUUCAUUUGCCAUAAAUGAUUAGAAAGUAGUCCUUGGAGAUUUACUCCCAGACAAGGUACAGGUAAAUACUGUGGGUAUAUAUCACAUUGCUUAACAAUUUGGCAAGCAGCUUUUCUUGUUAAUUUAAAUUGUUUUCUUAAAAUUAUACUAUUUUGAUGAUGCAGAACAUGUGAUCACUGAGCAAACUCAACUUGAGAUAAAGCGAUUAGUUUUGUAAGCUUAUCAACUACAGCAUUACCUUCAGCUAGUGGACUGGGAAGAUAUGAAUGCACUCUAAUAUACCCUAAAAAGCUUGGCAAUUUUCUUCGUUGUAUGGCAUUUUGAAUUUGCUGGAAUAGCAUUUUAACUUGUUUAUUGCUAUUCCUAAUACAUGGAAUGGUUUCUAGGACUUUAAGGGUACUAAAAAUAUAUUGACUGUCAGCACAUAGAUUAAAUGUUUUGCCUUAUCUGUAAAAAACUGAAGCACUAUAGCAACAGCUCACAGUUCAACUCUUUGAGCUGAGGCUGGUUCUGUUUGUACCACAUGUCCUUCACCAUUAACCACAUAUGCAGCUCUUCCACUGGAGAAACCAUCUGUAAAAAUUAACAUGGCAUCCUUUAAGGGAUCUUUGCUGAAACUUUUGGGAAAUAAAAGAAUAUAGUUGUACAAACUGCAGCAAUGAAUCAUCUGGGAAAAUAUUAUUAAUUUGGCCUUCAUAUUGAUCAAACACAAUUGUCCAAGAGUCAUUAUUUUGAAAUAAACAGUCAAUUUGUUGCUUAGUAUAAGGAAUGAUGAUCACAGCAGGUUCUCUGUCAAAGUACGUCUUAGAUUCCACCCCGCUCUUCUGUGCCAAGCAAACUUCAUAAAAGUGUAGUCAUAAAAGCAGACCAUUUUGCCACAAUACUGCUGUGGGAGUAAGCUUUGUAGGUAAUAUACAUGCUUGCCAAGGCUGAUCAUAAUUAAUAUAAUGUACUUGCUGUUUCUGUAUAGCAUGCUCUACCUGCAUGAGUACCUGUCUGGCAGUUUCUGUAAGCUGUCUAGUGGAAUCUGGAUCACUGCUCCCUUUAAGAAUUUCACUUAGUGGCUCAAGGUCUUCUGUAAAACAUUUUA